Molecule: ribosomal RNA, 468 nt
Filed under: uncultured bacterium
Lineage: Bacteria
Description: partial 16S ribosomal RNA
Rfam family: Bacterial small subunit ribosomal RNA
Source: RNAcentral
GAUGAACGCUGGCGGCGUGCUUAACACAUGCAAGUCGAACGGAAAGGCCCAAGCUUGCUUGGGUUCUCGAGUGGCGAACGGGUGAGUAACACGUGGGUGAUCUGCCCUGCACUUCGGGAUAAGCCUGGGAAACUGGGUCUAAUACCGGAUAGGACGAUGGUUUGGAUGCCAUUGUGGAAAGUUUUUUCGGUGUGGGAUGAGCUCGCGGCCUAUCAGCUUGUUGGUGGGGUAAUGGCCUACCAAGGCGUCGACGGGUAGCCGGCCUGAGAGGGUGUACGGCCACAUUGGGACUGAGAUACGGCCCAGACUCCUACGGGAGGCAGCAGUGGGGAAUAUUGCACAAUGGGCGCAAGCCUGAUGCAGCGACGCCGCGUGGGGGAUGACGGCCUUCGGGUUGUAAACUCCUUUCGCUAGGGACGAAGCGUUUUUGUGACGGUACCUGGAGAAGAAGCACCGGCUAACUACGUG